This 406-nucleotide ribosomal RNA is filed under the name uncultured bacterium. RNAcentral describes it as "partial 16S ribosomal RNA". It matches the Rfam family "Bacterial small subunit ribosomal RNA", at positions 29 to 525 of the family's 1533-position model. The record is from RNAcentral.
AUUGAACGCUGGCGGCAGGCCUAACACAUGCAAGUCGAGCGGAGCGGCGGACGGGUGAGUAAUACCUAGGAAUCUGCCUGAGAGCGGGGGAUAACGUUCGGAAACGGACGCUAAUACCGCAUACUUUCAGAUGAGCCUAGGGCGGAUUGGCUAGGUGGUGAGGUAAUGGCUCACCAAGGCUACGAUCCGUAACUGGUCUGAGAGGAUGAUCAGUCACACGGGAACUGAGACAGGGGCAGGACGCCUACGGGAGGCAGCAGGGGGGAAUAUGGGACAAGGGGCGAAACCCUGAGCCAGCCAUGCCGGGGGUGUGAAGAAGGUCUUCGGAUUGUAAAGCACUGUAAGUUGGGAGGCGUUACCGACAGAAUAAGCACGGGCAAACACGGUGCAAGCAGCCGCGGAAUUC